GCCUGGGUGGCUCAGUGGUUUGAGCACCUGCCUUCAGCCCAGGUUGUGAUCCUGGAGUCCUGGGAUCGAGUCCCACGUCAGGCU
Molecule: transfer RNA, 84 nt
Filed under: Canis lupus familiaris (dog)
Lineage: Eukaryota; Metazoa; Chordata; Mammalia; Carnivora; Canidae
Also listed under: 1 other name
Rfam family: tRNA
About the family: Transfer RNA (tRNA) molecules are approximately 80 nucleotides in length. Their secondary structure includes four short double-helical elements and three loops (D, anti-codon, and T loops). Further hydrogen bonds mediate the characteristic L-shaped molecular structure. tRNAs have two regions of fundamental functional importance: the anti-codon, which is responsible for specific mRNA codon recognition, and the 3' end, to which the tRNAs corresponding amino acid is attached (by aminoacyl-tRNA synthetases). tRNAs cope with the degeneracy of the genetic code in two manners: having more than one tRNA (with a specific anti-codon) for a particular amino acid; and 'wobble' base-pairing, i.e. permitting non-standard base-pairing at the 3rd anti-codon position.
Source: Rfam by way of RNAcentral